AAAAAAGGGGAAAAACAGAAAAAGAAUCUAAGUUAGUCCAUUGCCUUUGUACAUCACAAAAAUGGAUGAACUUUGCAACAUUUGUCAACUAUAUCUUCAUUAUUUACACUUUUCAAUAAAAAUAAAAGAUCUUUAGUGCUAGUGAUUGAUGCAAUCAGAAAAGCAGGUGAGUAACUUUAUCUUCUUUGUAACUUUGCAUUUUAUUUAAAUCAUAAAGAGUGGAUUAUUUUCACCAGAUUGUUUUUAUAUAGCAUUGACACUCUUAAUUAUUAUGGCAUUAUGUCAUGAUAUUUGCAUGUUGACUUUGUCGUUGAAGUUUGCCUCUACAAUCAGAAGUUGCUCUAGUUUGUAACUUCAUUAGAAUAAAGAAUUUUUGUCACUUUCCAGAACUUGUUUUCCUUGUAAAGUUAUUCUGUUAUGAUGUUAAAUCAUUUAUAUUUUAUCACAUAUUGAUCAGUUACAUCAUUUUGCAAUAUGUUCAUUCAUUCCCUUCCACAUUGUUAAUUAAAAUGCG
Molecule: long non-coding RNA, 514 nt
Filed under: Phoenix dactylifera (date palm)
Lineage: Eukaryota; Viridiplantae; Streptophyta; Magnoliopsida; Arecales; Arecaceae
Description: long non-coding RNA (PDAC_LNC018758)
Source: RNAcentral